UCAAUUUCUUCAGAGAAAAAGAGAAAAACUGCAUGUGCGACACUAAAAUGGGAGAAUUACUAAGGCAGAGAAACGAAAAGUGAGCCACGCUGGAUGUUGAAUAAUCAUUAUCCAUGUGGAUGCAAGAAGCCAAUGCGAUUGAUGCAAAAUAAAAUUACAAUACCGAUGAUUUCAAAUAAUUUCAAGUAUAAGAAGUCUUAUUCGAAAAGUCGUUGUUGCAUCAGAAGAAAUUCUUGCUAAAAAAAAACAAAUGAUAACUGUCCUUUGCUUGAAAUAUAUUGAGAGGAUACUGAACUGCUUUUUAAACUUGCUCAGGAUCGAUAAUGACCGGAAGCCUAAUUAGGCGCAGGAACGACGUCUUUUUCGUAGUUCAACUCACUGUUAAGGAUAAAAACUAAACUAAAAAAAUUGUCCAAAAAAGGACUAAUCCUGUAAAGAUUAAGCGAGUGACAAUGAAUUUGGCUGCAAUUAUUUACUUGUAUAUUCAAUAUAAUUUAGCAGAUAAUUAUAUACAUACUUAUAUAUGUAUACUUCGAGUUAUACAAAAUUAAACGAUGAUAUAGGAUGUUGUCAAUAUGGCCAUCUAAUUGUAAGUAUGCUACUAAUAUAGUCACUUUCGAGAUCUCCAUAGCGACAAAAUUUCUCGAUAAAUCGAUAAAUUAAAGGCUUAAUUUAAGACUGUUAACUUUCAAUCUCUCCCUAUGGGUUGUUUUCAUCCUGCUUAAAGCUACUAUUCUUAAUUUCUCAUACAACCAUGAUGCUAGCGUCAUCAAAGUUGUACUAAAAAAAACUUUGGAGGGGAAGGGUUUUUAGUGCAAAAAGCCAGCCCGAUCCGUUUGUUUUACUCCAAACGCCAGCCAGGUAAAAUAGGACGUUUUCGACCCAUAGAGAGGGAUUACGUAAGUAAAAAUGACUUUUUCGAAAAAAAAUUUUUUGUAAAUUAAGUAUUUUCGGACACGUACAUGCAUUUUAGAACAUAAUUAUGUAUAUAUUUUAAGUUGAACAUGUACAAUGCAGGUUAGAAAUCCAAAAUACUUUAAGCAGACCAAUAAAAUUUAGUAUUCAACAAAUAUUGGGAAGAUUGGACAUUAACUAAUAAAUUUAAAAAAAAAAAGAUGUUUUUAUUGUUUAUAUAAAAAUGAU
Molecule: long non-coding RNA, 1143 nt
Filed under: Monomorium pharaonis (pharaoh ant)
Lineage: Eukaryota; Metazoa; Arthropoda; Insecta; Hymenoptera; Formicidae
Description: uncharacterized LOC118646265, transcript variant X2
Source: RNAcentral